Molecule: ribosomal RNA, 203 nt
Filed under: uncultured bacterium
Lineage: Bacteria
Description: partial 16S ribosomal RNA
Rfam family: Bacterial small subunit ribosomal RNA
Source: RNAcentral
UUGCAGGCUGCAACCCGCCUGUAUGAAGUUGGAAUCGCUAGUAAUCGCGGAUCAGCAUGCCGCGGUGAAUACGUUCCCGGGCCUUGUACACACCGCCCGUCACACCAUGAGAGUCGGGAACACCCGAAGUCCGUAGCCUAACCGCAAGGAGGGCGCGGCCGAAGGUGGGUUCGAUAAUUGGGGUGAAGUCGUAACAAGGUAGC